UCCAGGGGAUCUUCCCCACCCAGGGUUCAAACUGCGUCUCCUACAUUGGCAGGCGGACUCUUACACCACUUCACCACCUGGGAAGCCCACAACAAAGAAUUAUAUGGCUGAAGAUGUCAAUAGUGCUGAAGUUGAGAAACCAUGGUUUAACAGCACUGCAGCCAGCCAGAGUCAGCUUCUUGAGACAGAUGUGCUGGGCUCACUACUCCCCCCUCCAACUCUUCACACUACUCCUGGGAUAAAUCUCACUCUUAACAUGGCCCCAAAGGAGUAGGGGUGGCUCCCACCCUCUCUUCACUCACAAAGUUGGGUCCAGCCGCACCGGCCUCUGGGUCUCUCAAAGCACAGCUUCAGCCAACCUCAGCCUUCCCACUGUUAUUCCCUUGACUUGGAACAUUCUCCCCCUUCACCCAGUGAACUCCCAUUCAUCCUUCAGGUCUCAAGCUACUUCGCACCUUCAGGCGGUGACCUUCCCUCACGGCCCCUCUCCCCUCAAUCUAGUCAGGUCCUGCUGCUUAGUACUUCUUAAAUCACCCUGUGAGUUUCUGUCCCGAUUGUAACUGUAAAGGUCUAUGUGUGGUUAGUUGAUUGAUGACUGUCUCCCUCACUUGACUGAGCUCUACAAGGAGAGGUCAGUCUUGCUCAUUGCUGACUGCUUUUAUGUACCAGUAUCUGGCAUAACAGAAGUGCCCAAUAGAAGCAUUUGUUGAGUGAGGAAAGCAGGCACUCAAUAAAUUUGUUGAAUGAAUGAGGAGAGGGACACAUAUGGGAGCAAGAGCAGUACAAAAUGUGUGCCUUGACGUGUGUUUACAAGGAGUGAAGGACGAAUGACUUGCCUGGGGAGUUGGGAAGGCCUCACCCAGGUUCACAAAGAGGCCAGUGGUGUGUGUGCACGUGCAUGCAUGGUAGCUAGGCAACUGGGGUUUAAGGUGCUAGGGGAAAAGUUGGAGACAGACACAUCAUGAAAGCUCAGGCAUAACUAGUAGGGAAAGGUGAGAACUUCCCAGCACUCACCCUCUGUUCAGGUACCUUGUCACCACACUGCGGGGCCGAUGCCUUCCCUUGAAUUCUGGUCACUGAUGAGGCCACCUGCAGCUGCCUAGAAGCAGCAGGACGGGACUCAUGUCUAACCCUGAUCCUAAAUGGAACUGUGUUCUCCAGACCAAUUUGAAUAAUUUAGAUUCCAGCAGAGCUGAUAAUACAGAUGUUUUAGAAAUGUUUCAUAAAGACAAAGAUGCCUAUCUUUGAGUGAGAGAAAUGAUAGAAAAAAUGCACCAAAAAAGCCAACACCAACAGCACAGGCCAGGCAGGCCAGAGGCAUUUUCUAGAAGAAGCAAAGAAAAAAAAGUUUCAAAGUUAACAACUCCUCUUAACAAAACACCAAAACUCCCACUACUAUCAAUACUGGAAUUACAGGCCAUUUUAAAAAAUUCUCUUGAAAUACAACAUAUACACAGAAAAGUGCCUUUUCCCUAAGUGUGUACCUCGAUGAAUUUUCACAGGGUGAACUCAAUUGUGUCACCACCACCCAGAUUGUUUAAGUUUGCUCUUUUCUGUGGGUAUUUUCAGAGGCUUCCAAGAAUACUGAGACACAGGAAAGAUGACAUGUCAAGGACACCAGGGAUAAUCCUGAAACAUAUUAGAUAAAUCUCUGAGCUGUGGGAUUUGAAAAAGACAUACCCUUUUGACCUGAGACCAAAUUCUUUGGUUUGAGUUGCAAGGAGUUCAAGCAGAGUCUAAUGUUUCUUCUCUCCAGACACUCAGGGACGAGUCCCAGGUUCUUGUUUGGAGCUGCUUGUUCUGCAGAAGCCUUUGUAGCUGCCUUCCACACACCCUGGCACCUCUUUCUGAGAGUUCUCUGAGUCACUUAUUUAGGUGGGUUCCAAACAGCAAAGGGUAGAGGUAACUUAAUGUUGUUGUCAAUUUGUUACUGUGGUUGUAAUCAAAAUUUUUUGUCUAAUUUUUGGUCACGCUGUACAGCAUGCAGGAUCUUAGUUCCCCGUCCAGAGAUCAAACCUGAGCCCCCUGCAGUGGAAGCAUGGAGUCUUAACCACUGGACUGCCAAGGAAGUCGCUGGAAUAAAAAAUGUUUAAAAAAGAAAAAAACUGUAGGGGAAACUUAAUGCAAGAUUGGGGAGGGGAUGGACAAUAUCUGUUUCAGCAGGAAAUAACAGAAAGCUGACACUGGUGUAGACAUUCAAGUGCAAACUGAAAACUGAAAGUGAAUGGAUAAAAAAUAAGCUGCUAUAAGACUUGUUAACUUAGGGAGAAAGUUGAAGUCUGGAGCCCAGUGCUAAGAAAACAGUAAACAGUCCCAAGAAGCAUGGUAGGAGAGAGAGCAUGGGAAGACUGGAAUCAAGAAAUCUGAGGGCUUUCCCUGGUGGUCCAGUGGCUAAGAAUCUGCCUUGCAAUGCAAGGGACACUGGUUUGAUUCAUGGUCUGGGAAGGCCCCACAUGCCUUGGAGCAACUAAACCCGUAAAU
Cervus elaphus (red deer) is the source of this 2481-nucleotide long non-coding RNA. RefSeq lists it as uncharacterized. NCBI's taxonomy places the organism in Eukaryota, Metazoa, Chordata, Mammalia, Artiodactyla, Cervidae. The record is from RefSeq and is a predicted model, not a curated record. The transcript has 3 exons.